Molecule: ribosomal RNA, 261 nt
Filed under: uncultured archaeon
Lineage: Archaea
Description: partial 16S ribosomal RNA
Rfam family: Archaeal small subunit ribosomal RNA
Source: RNAcentral
CAGCCGUAAACUAUGCGCGUUAGGUGUAUCGGUGACCACGAGUUACCGAGGUGCCGAAGGGAAACCGUGAAACGUGCCGCCUGGGAAGUACGGUCGCAAGGCUGAAGCUUAAAGGAAUUGGCGGGGGAGCACCACAACAGGUGGAGCCUGCGGUUUAAUUGGACUCAACGCCGGGAAGCUCACCGGAUAGGACAGCAGAAUGAUUGCCGGGCUGAAGACCCUGCAUGACUAGCUGAGAGGAGGUGCAUGGCGUCAGUGACU